UUUGGAUUGAAAAAGAAAAAAAAAAGAUUUUGAAAAGAUUGAAGAAGAAGGGGGUUGUGUCUGAAGUGCAAGAAAGGGGCAAUGGGUUGAAGGGUGACCCAGGCUCGAGCAAUCGCAAAUGAAGGGCGACAAUGGCAGAAGCGCGCGAAGAAUAGGAGCGAAUUCGAAAUAGAAAAAAGGAAGGAGGGAAAUGAACGAGAAAGUAAAAUUUGAAUAUAGAGAAGCAUAGUGUCCGCCAGGCAGGCAACACAGACCCUAAUUGAGGUACAACUAACGGAGAUAAAUUAUUUAAUAUAUAAUCUUAUG
RNAcentral lists this long non-coding RNA (306 nucleotides) under Vigna radiata. Its description in RNAcentral is "long non-coding RNA (VRAD_LNC000361)". The record is from RNAcentral. Lineage: Eukaryota; Viridiplantae; Streptophyta; Magnoliopsida; Fabales; Fabaceae.